Molecule: ribosomal RNA, 229 nt
Filed under: uncultured bacterium
Lineage: Bacteria
Description: partial 16S ribosomal RNA
Rfam family: Bacterial small subunit ribosomal RNA
Source: RNAcentral
UGCGUAGGCGGACUCAUAAGUCAGUGGUGAAAUCUUGCAGCUUAACUGUAAAACUGCCAUUGAUACUGUUAGUCUUGAAUUUAGUUGAGGUAGGCGGAAUGUAUUGUGUAGCGGUGAAAUGCAUAGAUAUAAUACAGAACACCGAUUGCGAAGGCAGCUUACUAAGCUAUAAUUGACGCUGAUGCACGAAAGCGUGGGGAGCGAACAGGAUUAGAUACCCUGGUAGUCC